RNAcentral lists this small nucleolar RNA (92 nucleotides) under Dasypus novemcinctus (nine-banded armadillo). RNAcentral's name for it is "Small nucleolar RNA SNORA42/SNORA80 family (ENSDNOG00000030474.1)". Lineage: Eukaryota; Metazoa; Chordata; Mammalia; Cingulata; Dasypodidae. The record is from RNAcentral.
GCAUGGGCUUGGAUUUAUGGCAGGCCCGCCCCCCUGCAAACCAUUGUCUGGCCUUGUCCACAGGCCUCAGCACUGAAGCGGGUUGCACAGUG